Molecule: ribosomal RNA, 339 nt
Filed under: Triticum aestivum (bread wheat)
Lineage: Eukaryota; Viridiplantae; Streptophyta; Magnoliopsida; Poales; Poaceae
Description: partial small subunit ribosomal RNA
Source: RNAcentral
AUGUAUGCAUGCUUUUUGUUUUUGUUGUGCCUUGUUUUCCGUUUAUCUUUGCUGCGCCUUUUUAGUUUUAAUUGUUAUUUACCUUCAUCCGACCGAAUUGAGCUAUCGGAGGUGCUGCGGUCUUUUGGCAAACAUGCUCUAUAUUCUAUGGUUUGGCAUCUACAGGAUGCCAUCUCAGGUCAUGGAUCCACUGUGGCUGCUUCGUCCUUCACUGAGAUCAGAGCAUUUUGUGCUUGGUGGCCUUCUUCGCCGACUUCAUGGGCAUGUCAGCCCUCAUCUCCACUUCGUCAUCGACGACAUCUACGACCACGACACCUGGCACCUUGGUACGCAAAUUAA